CCUACGGGAGGCAGCAGUAGGGAAUCUUCCGCAAUGGACGAAAGUCUGACGGAGCAACGCCGCGUGAACGAUGAAGGCCUUCGGGUCGUAAAGUUCUGUUGUUAGGGAAGAACAAGUGCUAGUUGAAUAAGCUGGCACCUUGACGGUACCUAACCAGAAAGCCACGGCUAACUACGUGCCAGCAGCCGCGGUAAUACGUAGGUGGCAAGCGUUGUCCGGAAUUAUUGGGCGUAAAGCGCGCGCAGGCGGUUUCUUAAGUCUGAUGUGAAAGCCCCCGGCUCAACCGGGGAGGGUCAUUGGAAACUGGGAAACUUGAGUGCAGAAGAGGAAAGUGGAAUUCCAAGUGUAGCGGUGAAAUGCGUAGAGAUUUGGAGGAACGACCAGUGGCGAAGGCGACUUUCUGGUCUGUAACUGACGCUGAGGCGCGAAAGCGUGGGGAGCAAACAGGAUUAGAUACCCUGGUAGUCCACGCUGUAAACGAUGAGUGCUAAGUGUUAGAGGGUUUCCGCCCUUUAGUGCUGAAGUUAACGCAUUGAGCACUCCGCCUGGGGAGUCGGUCGCAGACUGAACUUAAAGGAAUUGACGG
Molecule: ribosomal RNA, 586 nt
Filed under: uncultured bacterium
Lineage: Bacteria
Description: bacterial SSU rRNA
Rfam family: Bacterial small subunit ribosomal RNA
Source: RNAcentral